This is a non-coding RNA of Danionella cerebrum, 72 nucleotides long. The record is from the annotation of a GenBank genome assembly. NCBI's taxonomy places the organism in Eukaryota, Metazoa, Chordata, Actinopteri, Cypriniformes, Danionidae.
CUUUCUGUGUCUCAGUCAGUAAAGCAUUGCGCUAGCAAUGCAAAGGUUGUGGUUUCAAACCCAAGGGAAAGU